RNAcentral lists this long non-coding RNA (347 nucleotides) under Elaeis guineensis (African oil palm). RNAcentral's name for it is "long non-coding RNA (EGUI_LNC028398)". Lineage: Eukaryota; Viridiplantae; Streptophyta; Magnoliopsida; Arecales; Arecaceae. The record is from RNAcentral.
CUCCCACUCCUCCUAUGAUUCUCCUCCUCGGGCAGCUCUCCUUCUCCUCUUCUUCUUCUCCCGUUUCCGUUGGUAGUGGCGGUGCAUGGAUCGUAAGGAUCCUCGAGGCCAUCGUGGACCUAGCCAUCGGCGCUCUGGUUCUCCCUCAGAUCCCAUCUCCUGACUUGGCCAUCUAGAUUAUGGGGCCCGACCUAUAUUUUCUUACCGAUCGUGUCCCCUAUACUAUAGCCCCUGAUGACGACCUCGAUGACCUAUGCUGCCGUCCUCCUGCUCCAAAAACUCAGAUGACUUGUUAUUUCUUUGGGUACGAAAUACCAAUGCAAUUUGAAUUAUUUACUACCCCAGCC